RNAcentral lists this ribosomal RNA (168 nucleotides) under uncultured bacterium. RNAcentral's name for it is "partial 16S ribosomal RNA". It matches the Rfam family "Bacterial small subunit ribosomal RNA", at positions 353 to 509 of the family's 1533-position model. The record is from RNAcentral.
AGUAAGGAAUUUUCGGCAAUCGGGGGAAACCCUGACCGAGCAACGCCGCGUGAGUGAUGAAGGCCUUUGGGUUGUAAAAGCUCUGUUGUAAAAGGAAGAAUAUGUAAGAUAGGAAAAUGAUCUUACCUUGACGGUACUUUACUAGAAAGUCACGGCUUACUACGUGCC